RNAcentral lists this ribosomal RNA (492 nucleotides) under uncultured bacterium. RNAcentral's name for it is "partial 16S ribosomal RNA". It matches the Rfam family "Bacterial small subunit ribosomal RNA", at positions 29 to 507 of the family's 1533-position model. The record is from RNAcentral.
AGUGAACGCUGGCGGUAGGCCUAACACAUGCAAGUCGAACGGCAGCACAGUAAGAGCUUGCUCUUACGGGUGGCGAGUGGCGGACGGGUGAGGAAUACAUCGGAAUCUACUUUUUCGUGGGGGAUAACGGCGGGAAACUUACGCUAAUACCGCAUACGACCUACGGGUGAAAGCAGGGGAUCUUCGGACCUUGCGCGAUUGAAUGAGCCGAUGUCGGAUUAGCUAGUUGGCGGGGUAAAGGCCCACCAAGGCGACGAUCCGUAGCUGGUCUGAGAGGAUGAUCAGCCACACUGGAACUGAGACACGGUCCAGACUCCUACGGGAGGCAGCAGUGGGGAAUAUUGGACAAUGGGCGCAAGCCUGAUCCAGCCAUACCGCGUGGGUGAAGAAGGCCUUCGGGUUGUAAAGCCCUUUUGUUGGGAAAGAAAAGCAGCAGGUUAAUACCCCGCUGUUCUGACGGUACCCAAAGAAUAAGCACCGGCUAACUUCGUG